UACAGAGGAGCCAAGCGUUGUCCGGAUUGACUGGGCGUAAAGCGCACGCAGGCGGUCUGGCGCGUGGGGUGUGAAAUCUGGCCGCUUAACGGCCAGGCGCCAUCCCAUACGGCCGGACUGGAGGGCUGCAGAGGUCGAUGGAAUUGCCGGUGUAGUGGUGAAAUGCGCAGAUAUCGGGAGGAACACCAGUAGCGAAGGCGACACUCUGGGCCGGUACUGACGCUGAGGAGCGAAAGCGUGGGGAGCAAACAGG
RNAcentral lists this ribosomal RNA (253 nucleotides) under uncultured bacterium. RNAcentral describes it as "partial 16S ribosomal RNA". It matches the Rfam family "Bacterial small subunit ribosomal RNA", at positions 524 to 776 of the family's 1533-position model. The record is from RNAcentral.